Callithrix jacchus (white-tufted-ear marmoset) is the source of this 77-nucleotide small nucleolar RNA. The record is from Ensembl. NCBI's taxonomy places the organism in Eukaryota, Metazoa, Chordata, Mammalia, Primates, Cebidae.
GGCCUCAAGUGAUGGAGAGAAAUGCCCAGGGAGGACUGUGACCAAAUUGGGAUGUAUUCGUACUGUCUGAUGGGGCC